CAAGUCGAGCGGCAGCGCGGGGGCAACCCUGGCCGGCGAGCGGCGAACGGGUGAGUAAUGCAUCGGAACGUGUCCCGUAGUGGGGGAUAACGCCGCGAAAGCGGCGCUAAUACCGCAUACGCUCUACGGAGGAAAGUGGGGGAUUCGCAAGGACCUCACGUUAUGGGGGCGGCCGAUGUCCGAUUAGCUAGUUGGUGGGGUAAUGGCUUACCAAGGCGACGAUCGGUAGCUGGUCUGAGAGGAUGAUCAGCCACACUGGGACUGAGACACGGCCCAGACUCCUACGGGAGGCAGCAGUGGGGAAUUUUGGACAAUGGGGGCAACCCUGAUCCAGCCAUGCCGCGUGCGGGAAGAAGGCCUUCGGGUUGUAAACCGCUUUUAGCCGGGAAGAAAAGGCGCGAGUUAAUACCUCGUGUUUUUGACGGUACCGGCGGAAUAAGCACCGGCUAACUACGUGCCAGCAGCCGCGGUAAUACGUAGGGUGCGAGCGUUAAUCGGAAUUACUGGGCGUAAAGCGUGCGCAGGCGGUUCGUUGUGUCGGUGGUGAAAGCCCCGGGCUUAACCUGGGAAUGGCCAUGGAAACUGGCGAACUGGAUUGUGCAAAGGGGGGUGGAUUCCGCGUGUAGCAGUGAAAUGCGUAGA
RNAcentral lists this ribosomal RNA (642 nucleotides) under uncultured beta proteobacterium. RNAcentral's name for it is "bacterial SSU rRNA". It matches the Rfam family "Bacterial small subunit ribosomal RNA", at positions 58 to 694 of the family's 1533-position model. Lineage: Bacteria; Pseudomonadati; Pseudomonadota; Betaproteobacteria. The record is from RNAcentral.